UGGGGGAUAUUGCACAAUGGGCGCAAGCCUGAUGCAGCGACGCCGCGUGGGGGAUGAAGGCCUUCGGGUUGUAAACUUCUUUUGCUCUGAACAAGGCGCACUUUGGGGUGUGUUGAGUGUAGGGGUUGAUUAGCGCCGGCUAACUACGUGCCAGCAGCCGCGGUAAUACGUAGGGCGCGAGCGUUGUCCGGAAUUAUUGGGCGUAAAGGGCUUGUAGGUGGCUGGUUGCGUCUGUCGUGAAAGCUCAUGGCUUAACUGUGGGUUUGCGGUGGGUACGGGCUGGCUUGAGUGCAGUAGGGGAGGCUGGAAUUCCUGGUGUAGCGGUGGAAUGCGCAGAUAUCAGGAGGAAUACCGGUGGCGAAGGCGAGUCUCUGGGCUGUUACUGACACUGAGGAGCGAAAGCAUGGGGAGCGAACAGG
Molecule: ribosomal RNA, 419 nt
Filed under: bacterium
Lineage: Bacteria
Description: partial 16S ribosomal RNA
Rfam family: Bacterial small subunit ribosomal RNA
Source: RNAcentral